UACGUAGGGGGCAAGCGUUAUCCGGAUUUACUGGGUGUAAAGGGAGCGUAGACGGCACUGCAAGUCUGGAGUGAAAGCCCGAGGCCCAACCACGGGACUGCUCUGGAAACUGCGGGGCUGGAGUGCAGGAGGGGUAAGCGGAAUUCCUAGUGUAGCGGUGAAAUGCGUAGAUAUUAGGAGGAACACCGGUGGCGAAGGCGGCUUACUGGACUGUAACUGACGUUGAGGCUCGAAGGCGUGGGGAGCAAACAGG
RNAcentral lists this ribosomal RNA (253 nucleotides) under uncultured bacterium. Its description in RNAcentral is "partial 16S ribosomal RNA". It matches the Rfam family "Bacterial small subunit ribosomal RNA", at positions 524 to 776 of the family's 1533-position model. The record is from RNAcentral.